CAGUAGCCGCGGGAAUACAGAGGAUGCAAGCGUUAUCCGGAAUGAUUGGGCAUAAAGUGUCUGUAGGUGGCUUUUCAAGUCCGCCGUCAAAUCCCAGGGCUCAACCGUGGACAGGCGGUGGAAACUACCAAGCUGGAGUAUGGUAGGGGCAGAGGGAAUUUCCGGUGGAGCGGUGAAAUGCGUUGAGAUCGGAAAGAACACCAACAGCGAAAUCACUCUGCUAGGCCGACACUGACACUGAGAGACGAAAUCUAGGGGAGCAAAUGGGAUUAGAUACCCCCGUAGUCCCUGUCUCUUAUAC
RNAcentral lists this ribosomal RNA (301 nucleotides) under uncultured bacterium. RNAcentral describes it as "partial 16S ribosomal RNA". It matches the Rfam family "Bacterial small subunit ribosomal RNA", at positions 509 to 807 of the family's 1533-position model. The record is from RNAcentral.